UAUCCCUCAAGGUUGUACCUGGAGAGUUUCCAGUACUCUACCAGUCUCAACUAUGGGAGGGAGAGUCAAGCAGAGGUAUCCCAUUCCUAGCUUGGGCAGUGGCUAGUGAGUGGAAAGCAAUCUGCUACAAGU
Molecule: small nucleolar RNA, 132 nt
Organism: Ornithorhynchus anatinus (platypus)
Lineage: Eukaryota; Metazoa; Chordata; Mammalia; Monotremata; Ornithorhynchidae
Source: RefSeq, a predicted model, not a curated record